UACAGGGGGGGCAAGCGUUGUUCGGAAUUACUGGGCGUAAAGGGCUCGUAGGUGGCCAACUAAGUCAGACGUGAAAUCCCUCAGCUUAACUGGGGAACUGCGUCUGAUACUGGAUGGCUCGAGUUUGGGAGAGGGAUGCGGAAUUCCAGGUGUAGCGGUGAAAUGCGUAGAUAUCUGGAGGAGCACCGGUGGCGAAGGCGGCAUCCUGGACCAAUACUGACGCUGAGGAGCGAAAGCCAGGGGAGCAAACGGG
Molecule: ribosomal RNA, 253 nt
Filed under: uncultured bacterium
Lineage: Bacteria
Description: partial 16S ribosomal RNA
Rfam family: Bacterial small subunit ribosomal RNA
Source: RNAcentral